RNAcentral lists this unclassified non-coding RNA (337 nucleotides) under soil metagenome. RNAcentral's name for it is "partial contains 5.8S ribosomal RNA, internal transcribed spacer 2, and large subunit ribosomal RNA". The stretch from base 1 to 120 matches the Rfam family "5.8S ribosomal RNA", at positions 35 to 154 of the family's 154-position model. The record is from RNAcentral.
GAUGAAGAACGCAGCGAAAUGCGAUAAGUAGUGUGAAUUGCAGAAUUCAGUGAAUCAUCGAAUCUUUGAACGCACAUUGCGCCCCUUGGUAUUCCAUGGGGCAUGCCUGUUCGAGCGUCAUUUGUACCUUCAAGCUCUGCUUGGUGUUGGGUGUUUGUCUCGCCUCUGCGUGUAGACUCGCCUCAAAACAAUUGGCAGCCGGCGUAUUGAUUUCGGAGCGCAGUACAUCUCGCGCUUUGCACUCAUAACGACGACGUCCAAAAGGACAUUUUUACACUCUUGACCUCGGAUCAGGUAGGGAUACCCGCUGAACUUAAGCAUAUCAAUAAGCGGAGGA